GGGAGUGUAGCUCAUCGGUAGAGCACUUGCUUAGCGUGCAGGAGCCCUUGGGUUCCAUCCCCAGGAUGACCA
This 72-nucleotide transfer RNA is filed under the name Cavia porcellus (domestic guinea pig). It matches the Rfam family "tRNA". From Rfam's summary of the family: Transfer RNA (tRNA) molecules are approximately 80 nucleotides in length. The record is from Rfam by way of RNAcentral. Lineage: Eukaryota; Metazoa; Chordata; Mammalia; Rodentia; Caviidae.